AUGGAGCGCGGGAAGCUGCCGCAGCACAACCCUGGGAAGUUGGAGCCUAGCUGUCGUGGAGGAGCAGGGGGAAGGAGAGAGGGAGGUACUGAGAAGAGGGCGGCGGAGAUAUUUUGCCAGUCCCGCCACCAGCAAGGUUUCGCCGGUGAUGUCGGAACCGUUCGUCGGCGCCGUUCGAGCCGGAGGGUUGUGGAUUCUUGGGGGCAGAGAUCAUCGAGUGGAUGCUAUGAACCCAACUACGACCCUAAUGACAGUCCCCCAAACACUGAGAGUUGUGAUGAGAGCAUUGCAUAUAGUGAUGAAGAAUCUGUAUCUAAGAGGAAGAAGUUAUUAGAAGAUGCUUUAUUUGUUUUUUUAGGAAGGAGGCAAUCAAAUCACUCGAGAUUUUCCAAAAUUCUGGAAGAAUGUCGACCUUAA
This 417-nucleotide ribosomal RNA is filed under the name Triticum aestivum (bread wheat). RNAcentral describes it as "partial small subunit ribosomal RNA". Lineage: Eukaryota; Viridiplantae; Streptophyta; Magnoliopsida; Poales; Poaceae. The record is from RNAcentral.